GAAUAUAAUACUAGCAUCAAUUUUUUAUUUUAAAAGAAGUGGAAGUAAAAUCUCGUCAAAUAUAAUAUUUCUUCACCUUUGAAAGGUUCUAUCUCCAGGUGAAAGGUAUUUCCUAUCUUCUAUCAUCUCCUGUUUGCUUAUUCUUACAUCCAUACACUAAACAAUAUUUACUAAUAACACAAAAAGCAGAAAAAACACACCACAAAUGACAAUUGUUUUAUUCAACUAAUAAAACCAUUUCUUGUUAUUACAUGUAGUUCCUACAAUGUUGCUGCCAAUGAUCUCAUUUUGGCUGCUAGCCAGUCAUUGGAGCAGUCAGUCCAAUCUAUUAUAUAAAACAUUCUUGAUUUACCAUUGUGGAUAGAAAUGGAAGUGAUGAUGGUUUAUGUUAAUGAACUCUGUUAAGUAUUUUAAUUUGCUUAACCAAGUACAAUAGUAAAACUUGUUUAUGAAAAUGACAUUUGUGGAUGUGUUUGUUUCUUAUUUCAAUACUGUAUUAUAGUAGUUAUUCAGUGUUUCAAGAAAAUGGAUAAUUUGCUGGGAGAACAACCAAACCAAGGAAGUAAAGUAUGGUAGGACUUUACAGGACCUUCCCCACUUGUAAUCAGAGGAGUUUGUCAGUUGCAACCACUGAUCACAACAGAGGAAUGACAUUACAAGUUAUCAAGUGGGUGUCACGUUUCUGUCUUCUCCCCAACAAUUUCAGAAUGAAACAAUGCAAUAAUAUCUCCAUUUUAAAUACAUAUCUGACAGUGUCACCAUCGUUUUGCAUUAGGGAAUUGAAGAGUUUCAAAAUUACUUGAAAAAAAUGGCUGUUGAAAUUCCUUUGCCACGAAUUCAAAGUGACCAUAUAUUUGAGGUGAUCUUAUAAGCAUAUAACUUUGAGAUCUGUGUCUGAUUUGUAGUAUUUUUAAAAAUCUGUUUAAUAAUUGAAUUAUAUCAAAUAAAAGAAUCAUGGUAAUUAAUUUAAAGAUAGCUAAUUCUAUUUAUUUGUUAAAUAAAACUUUUUGGUCAAUCAAAUUGCCAAUUAUCUAGAAUAAUGUUAAGACAGAAUCUGAUG
This 1060-nucleotide long non-coding RNA is filed under the name Androctonus crassicauda. The record is from RNAcentral. Lineage: Eukaryota; Metazoa; Arthropoda; Arachnida; Scorpiones; Buthidae.